This 839-nucleotide ribosomal RNA is filed under the name Bacillus zhangzhouensis. RNAcentral's name for it is "bacterial SSU rRNA". It matches the Rfam family "Bacterial small subunit ribosomal RNA", at positions 54 to 873 of the family's 1533-position model. The record is from RNAcentral. Lineage: Bacteria; Bacillati; Bacillota; Bacilli; Caryophanales; Bacillaceae.
AAUGCAAGUCGAGCGAACAGAAGGGAGCUUGCUCCCGGAUGUUAGCGGCGGACGGGUGAGUAACACGUGGGUAACCUGCCUGUAAGACUGGGAUAACUCCGGGAAACCGGAGCUAAUACCGGAUAGUUCCUUGAACCGCAUGGUUCAAGGAUGAAAGACGGUUUCGGCUGUCACUUACAGAUGGACCCGCGGCGCAUUAGCUAGUUGGUGGGGUAAUGGCUCACCAAGGCGACGAUGCGUAGCCGACCUGAGAGGGUGAUCGGCCACACUGGGACUGAGACACGGCCCAGACUCCUACGGGAGGCAGCAGUAGGGAAUCUUCCGCAAUGGACGAAAGUCUGACGGAGCAACGCCGCGUGAGUGAUGAAGGUUUUCGGAUCGUAAAGCUCUGUUGUUAGGGAAGAACAAGUGCGAGAGUAACUGCUCGCACCUUGACGGUACCUAACCAGAAAGCCACGGCUAACUACGUGCCAGCAGCCGCGGUAAUACGUAGGUGGCAAGCGUUGUCCGGAAUUAUUGGGCGUAAAGGGCUCGCAGGCGGUUUCUUAAGUCUGAUGUGAAAGCCCCCGGCUCAACCGGGGAGGGUCAUUGGAAACUGGGAAACUUGAGUGCAGAAGAGGAGAGUGGAAUUCCACGUGUAGCGGUGAAAUGCGUAGAGAUGUGGAGGAACACCAGUGGCGAAGGCGACUCUCUGGUCUGUAACUGACGCUGAGGAGCGAAAGCGUGGGGAGCGAACAGGAUUAGAUACCCUGGUAGUCCACGCCGUAAACGAUGAGUGCUAAGUGUUAGGGGGUUUCCGCCCCUUAGUGCUGCGGCUAACGCGUUAAGCACUCCGCCGG